CCCAUCUUGGGCCUGAGCGUUUCCCGGCCCGCGUCGGUGGGUGGUUUCGGAGGGAAGGGAAAGUGAGUCCGGACAGGUCCCCGAGGCUGCGAAGAGCUCCGCUUUGUCUCGGGGGACAAUGAGGCCUCGCGUUUCUUUCUGCCAGCGUCGCCCAGCUUCGAGGGCUCCUGAGGCGCGGUCUGAGCUGCCCCGGGCCGCCACCUGACUCUCCCGAAGAGGGCUUCGGGACCCAACACUUCCUCAGAGAAGGAAACCCAGACAUGGAGUCUCACUAUGUUGCCCAGGGUGGCCUUGAUCUCCUGGGCUCAAGUAAUCAUUCCACUUCAGCCUCCUGAGUAGCUGGGACUGCAGACACAUGCCACCACACCUGGCUUUGAAAUAAGCAUCAUGAAUAAAGCGCAAAUGUAUUGUAGAGAGCUGGAAGAGCCUCAGACACCAGGCAAGUAAAUCAAAACAAAGUAUUGUUAAUGAUUACCCUGGAUACUUUAAGAAGAAUGUAGAAGAUCAAUAGAUCUACAGAACAUUAAUCCUUCUAGAAAAUGUGAGCAUCCUAGAUUUUAUUUGUUUAAGAUUGAUACAAUUGAGUUAUAUUUUUGUGAGCCUAAUGGAAGAGAAUCAUGUCAUCUCUCAGGAAAGCAAUCCUCUCAGCUGUGCUGACCAAGGUUCC
Molecule: long non-coding RNA, 667 nt
Filed under: Homo sapiens (human)
Lineage: Eukaryota; Metazoa; Chordata; Mammalia; Primates; Hominidae
Description: HSALNT0339875
Source: RNAcentral